RNAcentral lists this microRNA precursor (52 nucleotides) under Sapajus apella (tufted capuchin). RNAcentral describes it as "Cebus apella (Tufted capuchin) mir-1302 microRNA precursor family". It matches the Rfam family "mir-1302 microRNA precursor family". Lineage: Eukaryota; Metazoa; Chordata; Mammalia; Primates; Cebidae. RNAcentral also lists the same sequence under 3 other names. The record is from Rfam by way of RNAcentral.
UAUUUAGUAUAAGUAUUUCCCAUGAACUACUGGGGAUAUACUUAUACUAAAA